GCUUCCCCUGACGAUUGGUAUGAAUUCGUAUAUAACAUGAAAAGAAUAAAAAUAAAUUUCAAUUUAUUUUACUCGGCGAAUCAGAAUUAGACUGACCUCAAUGCGGGAACCGUAUAGGUGAUACACAAAAAAAAUAAAAUAUUCUAUACCACAUGGAGAACCUUAGUAGCUGGGUUGGUUGGCUAAUAAGCUUUCACCGAGGAUUCAAUUCCUCACGUUAUAAUUCCCUUCCCAAUUUUCCAUUCCUUACCCCCUCCCAAAAAAAAAGUUUAAAAAGAUCAUCGGUGCAUUUUAAUAUAUUGUUUACCUAUCCCAAUUUAUGUGUGGGGUUCAUAAUUAGGGAAAAAAAUACUUUUAAAAUUUGUGGUAUAAAAUAAACAAUAGAUAUUUGUAUUACUAUAAAUUAUCUCACUAAGGGUAAAAGGAGAAGUAGUUAAAUUAUUUUUAAUUGAAUAAACUAACUACAAAAGCAUGUAGUAUAAAAUAGGGAGAGAAAGUAAUAGGUUAUUUAUUGUUUUUUUAGAUUAUCAAAUUAUGAUAACUAUAAAAAAUUACAUAAUGUUAUAGAUCAUCAAAAUUAUAGACUGCUAAUGCGCAAAAGUUUUAAGUCAUAAAAUGAAACUUACUUUAGACAUGUUUUUUUUGUUUUAUGAUGCAGUUAUGUAUUGGCUUCCUAUGCGCACUUUCUUUGGGAUGCAGAGGAUGAAGAGGAAGAAGAAGAAGAGAGACAAAACAUGAGCGGCAUUAACUUAUCACAAUUUACAACCUAGUUUCUUCAUAUAACUCACUGCCUCUUAAGUUUGAUUUCUCUGUUUAUGUUGUAGUAAAAAUAUAAUUAACCUUCUAACUUUUUUUGUUUUCUGUACCUUUCACCCUUUUGGGUUGUUAUGCUUUCUAACCUUUCAUUUCCCUUGACUACCGAGCAUUUUCACGGGUUCAGUU
This 942-nucleotide long non-coding RNA is filed under the name Nicotiana tabacum (common tobacco). RNAcentral's name for it is "long non-coding RNA (NTAB_LNC004936)". The record is from RNAcentral. Lineage: Eukaryota; Viridiplantae; Streptophyta; Magnoliopsida; Solanales; Solanaceae.